UACGAGCGAGCGGCAUUAUGUCAUGUCACGGUUGAGUUAGGCAAUCGGCCUAUAUCGGAUCGGUAACUUAUGAACCGAAUUGGGAUGAGUGGUUUAGCCGUAUACCCUGAAAGGGUUGUACACUGGAGUACAUCGAAGGUAUUCAAGUGAAUUAUGUCUAGGGACCGUGAAAGCAAAAGCUUGGUCCUAUGGAUAAAUCAGUCAGAAUUGCUGAGAUAAGCAUCGAUGACGAGUUGAGAUUGGAAAUGCGAACAAAGUGUUCGUAGAAACUGAUUUGGAAAAAAACUCAGUAUAGUAUGGAAUGAAAUUGAGAAAUCUUGAAAUGGUGUUGGAAUUUACCUCCCUCCGUUAAACAAUGAAGAGUAAUAUGUAUCUAAGUUUCGCGGACGAAACUUUUGUUAACGAGGGGAGAAUGUAACAUAUGAGAAUCUGGGAGUUGCGAUGUCAACUUUGACCUAGAAGGUCAAAGUGAGGAGUGAGCUAGUUGGACAUCAUCCUAGAGUGAAUUGUGAUGCGUUGGAAUGAAUUUCGGAGAUAAACAAGUGUUUCGGCGCAAAUUGGGCGCGAACGAAAAAUAAAGAGAAUUUCGGAUUCCCGACGCUAACUUUGAUUAAAAGAAUUAAAGUAAAGCGCAAGGAUAAAUUGUGGCAUCUCCGAAUUAAUUGUGAAGCUUUGGAAAAGCUCAGGGCGUGUUUUCAAAGGGUUUGGAAGUAUUCAGUGCGAAGUGGUAAUGCAAAAAGGGAGAAAGUGCAUUGGAGCUGACUUUAUUGCUAAUUCGG
RNAcentral lists this long non-coding RNA (779 nucleotides) under Ananas comosus (pineapple). RNAcentral's name for it is "long non-coding RNA (ACOM_LNC038399)". Lineage: Eukaryota; Viridiplantae; Streptophyta; Magnoliopsida; Poales; Bromeliaceae. The record is from RNAcentral.